CAGUCGCCACGGGAAUACGAAGGGUGCAAGCGUUACUCGGAAUUACUGGGCGUAAAGCGUGCGUAGGUGGUGGUUUAAGUCUGUUGUGAAAGCCCCGGGCUCAACCUGGGAAUUGCAGUGGAUACUGGGUCACUAGAGUGUGGUAGAGGAUAGUGGAAUUUCCGGUGUAGCAGUGAAACGCGUAGAGAUCGGAAGGAACAUCUGUGGCGAAGGCGACUAUCUGGGCCAACACUGACACUGAGGCACGAAAGCGUGGGGAGCAAACAGGAUUAGAUACCCCUGUGGUCCCUGUCUCUUAUAC
This 301-nucleotide ribosomal RNA is filed under the name uncultured bacterium. RNAcentral's name for it is "partial 16S ribosomal RNA". It matches the Rfam family "Bacterial small subunit ribosomal RNA", at positions 509 to 807 of the family's 1533-position model. The record is from RNAcentral.